GAAGAAGAUUAUACAGGCUGCUGUGAAGUGUGUUCACAAGAGUUCUAACAGUUUGAACAUUGCGUGAAUCAGAGAUUCUGUUACCAUUGCCAAGCAUUGUACGGCUGAGAGACUGCAACGUCUGAAGCAAAAAAAUCAUAAUUUGUGUUCUACUGAAAAAACAAAGUCACCGUCAUCUUGGAUGCCCUGGGGUUACGUCCUGUGUCUAGGUCUGUAGGGGUAGCUAUAUGGAGAAUAACAGACAGACUAAAGGAUCAGAGGUCAAAGGUCAACCUGACGACACUGAAGCCAGUCAGAAGGGAGUUGUUUUCUAUGUCCAUCUCACACAUAACAGAUGCCUCUUAUUAAGCACAAAAUCUUAUUCUAAACAAAAGUCCCAUUAAUACAGCACAGCUUAGUGUGAGUCAUUUUUUGUGACAUGUCUGGUAUCAAGUCUGUACUGAUAACACUAUAUUCAUACCACUUAUCAUUCAUACUGUAUCAGAUGACAUCCAUCAAGUUCCAAAUAAAAAGGAAAUAAAAUAUCCAAAAAAC
Long non-coding RNA from Cyprinus carpio carpio, 534 nucleotides. The record is from Ensembl. NCBI's taxonomy places the organism in Eukaryota, Metazoa, Chordata, Actinopteri, Cypriniformes, Cyprinidae.